UGUGAACCAGCGGAGGGAUCAUUACCGAGUUAUACAACUCAUCAACCCUGUGAACAUACCUAUAACGUUGCCUCGGCGGGAACAGACGGCCCCGUAACACGGGCCGCCCCCGCCAGAGGACCCCCUAACUCUGUUUCUAUAAUGUUUCUUCUGAGUAAACAAGCAAAUAAAUUAAAACUUUCAACAACGGAUCUCUUGGCUCUGGCAUCGAUGAAGAACGCAGCGAAAUGCGAUAAGUAAUGUGAAUUGCAGAAUUCAGUGAAUCAUCGAAUCUUUGAACGCACAUUGCGCCCGCCAGUAUUCUGGCGGGCAUGCCUGUUCGAGCGUCAUUACAACCCUCAGGCCCCCGGGCCUGGCGUUGGGGAUCGGCGGAAGCCCCCUGCGGGCACAACGCCGUCCCCCAAAUACAGUGGCGGUCCCGCCGCAGCUUCCAUUGCGUAGUAGCUAACACCUCGCAACUGGAGAGCGGCGCGGCCACGCCGUAAAACACCCAACUUCUGAAUGUUGACCUCGAAUCAGGUAGGAAUACCCGC
This 533-nucleotide ribosomal RNA is filed under the name Fusarium solani. RNAcentral's name for it is "eukaryotic LSU rRNA". The stretch from base 176 to 329 matches the Rfam family "5.8S ribosomal RNA". Lineage: Eukaryota; Fungi; Ascomycota; Sordariomycetes; Hypocreales; Nectriaceae. The record is from RNAcentral.